GGGGUCGUAGCUCGAAUGGUAGAGCGCCCGCUUAGCAUGCGAUGCUGAGCGCCGCAGAUGAUGUGCGGGAGGUAGGGGGAUCGAUGCCCUCCGACUCCA
This is a transfer RNA of Volvox carteri f. nagariensis, 99 nucleotides long. It matches the Rfam family "tRNA". From Rfam's summary of the family: Transfer RNA (tRNA) molecules are approximately 80 nucleotides in length. Their secondary structure includes four short double-helical elements and three loops (D, anti-codon, and T loops). Further hydrogen bonds mediate the characteristic L-shaped molecular structure. tRNAs have two regions of fundamental functional importance: the anti-codon, which is responsible for specific mRNA codon recognition, and the 3' end, to which the tRNAs corresponding amino acid is attached (by aminoacyl-tRNA synthetases). tRNAs cope with the degeneracy of the genetic code in two manners: having more than one tRNA (with a specific anti-codon) for a particular amino acid; and 'wobble' base-pairing, i.e. permitting non-standard base-pairing at the 3rd anti-codon position. Lineage: Eukaryota; Viridiplantae; Chlorophyta; Chlorophyceae; Chlamydomonadales; Volvocaceae. The record is from Rfam.